UACGUAGGGUCCGAGCGUUUGUCCGGAAUUACUGGGCGUAAAGAGCUCGUAGGUGGUUUGUCGCGUUGUUCGUGAAAACUCACAGCUCAACUGUGGGCGUGCGGGCGAUACGGGCAGACUAGAGUACUGCAGGGGAGACUGGAAUUCCUGGUGUAGCGGUGGAAUGCGCAGAUAUCAGGAGGAACACCGGUGGCGAAGGCGGGUCUCUGGGCAGUAACUGACGCU
This 225-nucleotide ribosomal RNA is filed under the name uncultured bacterium. RNAcentral describes it as "partial 16S ribosomal RNA". It matches the Rfam family "Bacterial small subunit ribosomal RNA", at positions 524 to 747 of the family's 1533-position model. The record is from RNAcentral.